UGGCGGCAACAGCGCGGUGGUCCCACCUGACCCAUGCCGAACUCAGAAGUGAAACGCCGUAGCGCCGAUGGUAGUGUGGGGUCUCCCCAUGCGAGAGUAGGGAACUGCCAGGCA
Molecule: ribosomal RNA, 114 nt
Filed under: Kluyvera intermedia
Lineage: Bacteria; Pseudomonadati; Pseudomonadota; Gammaproteobacteria; Enterobacterales; Enterobacteriaceae
Source: RNAcentral